GCGCCAAUAGCUCAGCUGGAUAGAGUGUCUGACUACGAAUCAGAAGGUCGGGGGUUCGAGUCCCUCUUGGCGCA
RNAcentral lists this transfer RNA (74 nucleotides) under Bittarella massiliensis (ex Durand et al. 2017). It matches the Rfam family "tRNA". From Rfam's summary of the family: Transfer RNA (tRNA) molecules are approximately 80 nucleotides in length. The record is from Rfam by way of RNAcentral. Lineage: Bacteria; Bacillati; Bacillota; Clostridia; Eubacteriales; Oscillospiraceae.